This 460-nucleotide ribosomal RNA is filed under the name uncultured bacterium. Its description in RNAcentral is "partial 16S ribosomal RNA". It matches the Rfam family "Bacterial small subunit ribosomal RNA", at positions 338 to 795 of the family's 1533-position model. The record is from RNAcentral.
CCUACGGGUGGCAGCAGUGAGGAAUAUUGGUCAAUGGACGAGAGUCUGAACCAGCCAAGUAGCGUGAAGGAAGACUGCCCUACGGGUUGUAAACUUCUUUUGUCUGGGAGUAAACUGUUCCACGUGUGGGUUUUUGUAUGUACCUGAUGAAUAAGCAUCGGCUAACUCCGUGCCAGCAGCCGCGGUAAUACGGAGGAUCCGAGCGUUAUCCGGAUUUAUUGGGUUUAAAGGGAGCGCAGGUGGAUGGUCAAGUCAGUUGGGAAAAUUGCGGGCUCAACCGUAGAAUGGCAAUUGAUACUGGCAGUCUUGAGUACAGUAGAGGUAGGCGGAAUUCGUGGUGUAGCGGUGAAAUGCUUAGAUAUCACGAAGAACUCCGAUUGCGAAGGCAGCUUACUAAACUGCCACUGACAUUGAUGCUCGAAAGUGUGGGUAUCAAACAGGAUUAGAUACCCGUGUAGUC